CCUGAAUGAGGAGCAUUCUUCGUUCCUUUUCCGAGGAGUUGAUGUAACUGCCGUGUACGAGGAGGUAGGAGAAUAUCAGCACGUCUCCCUUCCUGGCCAGCACCGGGGUCGCCUUGCUCAGGGGAAAUCUUUCCUGCGGAGAUUCACAAUAAAGAAGUCGCGUGAGCAAGCAAACAACGGUGUGGCGCAACAGCCCGGGGUCAAGACGACCCGUUACAGACGCAGUUGUGCCGACGACGGACGCCGGUAUCAACAAUUGGCCCUUGACAUCCCGCCGAGGAUAGCUACGAUACCACACUUAUGUAAGCAGUGACGCGAACUGCCGCGGGAUCAACACCAGCCGCACUUUACAAUGUUCGAGAAGAGUUUCAAAGGCUCAAAUGUACAUAACUUUACUCAUUCAUAAAUUCCGAGUUUUUAAGUUUUUGGAAAAAAAAUUUGUAUUUAUUAAUGAGGGAUAUGCUAGAAAUAAUGACUUUUUACGACAAAA
This is a long non-coding RNA of Bacillus rossius redtenbacheri, 490 nucleotides long. RefSeq lists it as uncharacterized. NCBI's taxonomy places the organism in Eukaryota, Metazoa, Arthropoda, Insecta, Phasmatodea, Bacillidae. The transcript has 2 exons. The record is from RefSeq and is a predicted model, not a curated record.